Molecule: ribosomal RNA, 490 nt
Filed under: uncultured bacterium
Lineage: Bacteria
Description: partial 16S ribosomal RNA
Rfam family: Bacterial small subunit ribosomal RNA
Source: RNAcentral
GACGAACGCUGGCGGCGUGCUUAACACAUGCAAGUCGAACGCUGAAGCUUGGGUGCUUGCAUCUGGGUGGAUGAGUGGCGAACGGGUGAGUAAUACGUGAGUAACCUGCCCUUGACUCUGGGAUAAGCCUGGGAAACUGGGUCUAAUACUGGAUACUACAUUCUCUCGCAUGGGGGUGUGUGGAAAGGGUUUUACUGGUUUUGGAUGGGCCCACGGCCUAUCAGCUUGUUGGUGGGGUAAUGGCCUACCAAGGCGACGACGGGUAGCCGGCCUGAGAGGGUGACCGGCCACACUGGGACUGAGACACGGCCCAGACUCCUACGGGAGGCAGCAGUGGGGAAUAUUGCACAAUGGGCGAAAGCCUGAUGCAGCGACGCCGCGUGAGGGAUGACGGCCUUCGGGUUGUAAACCUCUUUCAGCACGGAAGAAGCGAAAGUGACGGUACGUGCAGAAGAAGCGCCGGCUAACUACGUGCCAGCAGCCGCCGUAA